GACGAACGCUGGCGGCGUGCUUAACACAUGCAAGUCGAACGGCAGCACAGUGUGUAGCAAUACACAUGGGUGGCGAGUGGCGGACGGGUGCGUAACGCGUAGGAAUCUGCCUUGAAGCGGGGGACAACCCGAGGAAACUCGGGCUAAUACCGCAUAGACUCGAAAGAGCAAAGCUGGGGCAACCUGGCACUUCAAGAGGAGCCUGCGUCCGAGUAGCUAGUUGGUGGGGUAAAAGCCUACCAAGGCGAUGAUCGGUAGCUGGUCUGAGAGGAUGAUCAGCCACACUGGGACUGAGACACGGCCCAGACUCCUACGGGAGGCAGCAGUGGGGAAUAUUGGACAAGGGGCGAAAGCCUGAUCCAGCAAUGCCGCGUGUGUGAAGAAGGCCUUCGGGUUGUAAAGCACUUUAGGCUGGGAGGAAGGGUUGUAGUUUAAGAGAUGACAACUUUGACUGUACCGGCAGAAUAAGCACCGGCUAACUCUGUGCCAGCCGCCGCAGUAA
This 502-nucleotide ribosomal RNA is filed under the name uncultured bacterium. RNAcentral describes it as "partial 16S ribosomal RNA". It matches the Rfam family "Bacterial small subunit ribosomal RNA", at positions 28 to 523 of the family's 1533-position model. The record is from RNAcentral.